RNAcentral lists this unclassified non-coding RNA (1459 nucleotides) under Hevea brasiliensis (rubber tree). The record is from RNAcentral. Lineage: Eukaryota; Viridiplantae; Streptophyta; Magnoliopsida; Malpighiales; Euphorbiaceae.
GAAUUGACCGGAUCCGAUUUGAUCAUCCGACGUCUCUAUAUUCGUUACAACACACAACUAUAAACAUGUAAACAAUAACUAAAACAAAGUGAUCAACAUGCCUUCACAAUAUUGUAAUAUCCAGAGUCAUUUCAAGUCAAUGUUGCCAUUUUCUUCUGGUGCCACAAGCAUGUAAACAAGCGUAAAACACGGUAUGUUAAACUCAUCAUCAAGUUAUUGCUAAAGCAAAAUCAAGAAAAGAUAAUGUUCACAAAAGCUGAACUGCAAAAUACAUGAUACUAUGAUCAACAACAGACACAAAAACAGACUCAUCUUGAUCUCAUCAGUAGUUCUCAUCGCUAACAAAUCGCUCGACCCUGUUUUCGUUCAGAUUUAGACCACCCAUUGCUUCCUCCAAACCACUGCUAGCCGCGGCCAAAAUAUGGGGAUCGUUAUAGUUCCUGACAGCCUGCACAAUUGCCCUUACUUUCUUGUAAGGAUCAGAGCAAUUGAAUAUAUCCGAACCAACAAACACACCAUCACAACCCAGCUGCAUCAUGAGCGCUGCAUCUGCAGGCGUGACAAUUCCACCAGCAGCAAAAUGAACCACAGGGAGCCUACCCAUCUGCUUCGUCUGCGCAACAAUAUCAUAAGGGGCACCGAUCUUCUUAGAGAAAGUGAAGACCUCAUCAUCAUCCAUGUUUGAUAGAAUUCUAAUAUCUCCCAUCACUUUCCUCACAUUGUGGACUGUAUCAACAAUACUGCCCGUACCCGCUAGAUCCCCUUGGGUCCUAACCAUGGCAGCGCCUUCUCUGACUCUCCUUAACGCUUCUCCAAGAUCUCGACAUCCACAGACAAAAGGUGCCCUGAAAUUGUGUUUGUUGACGAAAUGAUCUUCGUCGGCGAGGGCUAAAAUCUCGCUCUCAUCUAUAUAAUCAACUCCAAUAGCUUCAAGGAUCUGGGCUUCAACAAAAUGACCGACACGGGCUUUAGCCAUUACAGGAAGCGCAACUGCCUGCUUGAUUUCCUUGAUUAGAGACGGGUCGGGCAUACGCGAGAUUCCGGGUCCUUUAGGCUCCGAAACUACAAGACAACAAACUCCGGCCGACUCGGCAAUCUUCGCUUGGUUGACGGUGGUGACUUCCGCAAUCGCUCCUCCUCUAAGCAUUUGAGCAAUUCCAACUUUGAUCGAAAACGAAUUCUUCUUGGUAUCAGUUAUGGCGCUGCCACUGUACACUGUAACGGCACCGUCUUCUUCCAUUUUGCAAACUGUUUCUGAAAAUGCCUGAACCAAAAGCAGAUAACAAAUUCUCAAAACAGUAAAACUACGCCGGCGAGAUUGGAAUACGUUGGUGGAGAAAUGAUUGUGAAGAAUGAUAUAUAAAGAGAAGUCCGGUGGGAGAAUUGGAAUGGGGCGGUGAGAUUUAGUUUGUUCUAGAAACUGCUAGGAGGUGUCUGCGUGUUUUUUGUAAGAAAGUUC